RNAcentral lists this long non-coding RNA (235 nucleotides) under Hordeum vulgare. RNAcentral describes it as "long non-coding RNA (HVUL_LNC008589)". Lineage: Eukaryota; Viridiplantae; Streptophyta; Magnoliopsida; Poales; Poaceae. The record is from RNAcentral.
CUUACUGUAUUUAGUCUUCUGUUAGCAGAGUAGCUAGUGUACCCAGUCAUGUAUUUAGUCUAGGCAAGGACUCUAUGUUCUGUUCUAAACCGCAGAUGGGUUUUAUCAUUUAGGGAGUUCAACGUUUUGCGCUAUUUAGUCGCGGUCUGUACUGUGCGUGCUUGUUCUCAUGUAUGCAGUAAUCCACUUUCCAGCCUGAUUUUUGGUUCCACAAAAUCAGGGUGUAUGCACUCAU